GAUCCUGGCUCAGGACGAACGCUGGCGGCAUGCCUAAUACAUGCAAGUCGAACGCUUUGAUUUCACCGGGUGCUUGCACCCACCGAAGUCAAAGAGUGGCGGACGGGUGAGUAACACGUGGGUAACCUGCCCAUAAGAGGGGGAUAACAUUCGGAAACGGAUGCUAAUACCGCAUACUUCUAAUCGCCUCCUGGCGAAUGGAAAAAAGGUGGCUUCGGCUACCGCUUAUGGAUGGACCCGCGGCGUAUUAG
This 251-nucleotide ribosomal RNA is filed under the name uncultured bacterium. RNAcentral describes it as "partial 16S ribosomal RNA". It matches the Rfam family "Bacterial small subunit ribosomal RNA", at positions 15 to 244 of the family's 1533-position model. The record is from RNAcentral.